RNAcentral lists this ribosomal RNA (253 nucleotides) under uncultured bacterium. Its description in RNAcentral is "partial 16S ribosomal RNA". It matches the Rfam family "Bacterial small subunit ribosomal RNA", at positions 524 to 776 of the family's 1533-position model. The record is from RNAcentral.
UACGUAGGGUGCAAGCGUUGUCCGGAAUUAUUGGGCGUAAAGAGCUCGUAGGCGGUUUGUUGCGUCGGCUGUGAAAUCCCGAGGCUCAACCUCGGGUCUGCAGUCGAUACGAGCAAACUAGAGUGUUGCAGGGGAGACUGGAAUUCCUGGUGUAGCGGUGAAAUGCGCAGAUAUCAGGAGGAACACCGGUGGCGAAGGCGACUACCUGGCCUGUUCUUGACGCUGAGGCGCGAAAGCUAGGGGAGCAAACGGG